Pelobates cultripes (western spadefoot toad) is the source of this 370-nucleotide non-coding RNA. The record is from the annotation of a GenBank genome assembly. NCBI's taxonomy places the organism in Eukaryota, Metazoa, Chordata, Amphibia, Anura, Pelobatidae.
AAUGGACACAGCAGAAAUACGAGCUCGGAGGGCAGUACUCAUUCACACAAGUGUAUGGCAGAAUACUACUCCCAAUUUUAAUGGGGAAGACACAGAUCUUAUAACAAAAUUCUAUACACAUCCAAAAGGGGUUGUCUUCACAUAAUACAGUCAUGUCCUGUCAAUUGCAUAUUAAAAGAACUUAAAGCACAUUUGGCAUUAGCUGGUCAAAAGGUGUUACUUGAUUAAACAAACACUUCCCAACAAGGUGUUAUCAGGAUAUGCAGUGCAGGGGGGGGGAAAUAAGAAGAAGAUACAAAUCAGGAUCAAAGGCCACCUGUUAUAAUAGAGCAUCCUGACAUUACUAAAUCUACUGUGUAGUGUGACACAG